Molecule: unclassified non-coding RNA, 337 nt
Filed under: soil metagenome
Description: partial contains 5.8S ribosomal RNA, internal transcribed spacer 2, and large subunit ribosomal RNA
Rfam family: 5.8S ribosomal RNA (bases 1-120)
Source: RNAcentral
GAUGAAGAACGUAGUGAAAUGCGAUAAGUAGUGUGAAUUGCAGAAUUCAGUGAAUCAUCGAAUCUUUGAACGCACAUUGCGCCCCUUGGUAUUCCAUGGGGCAUGCCUGUUCGAGCGUCAUCUACACCCUCAAGCUCUGCUUGGUGUUGGGCGUCUGUCCCGCCUUUGCGCGUGGACUCGCCCCAAAUUCAUUGGCAGCGGUCCUUGCCUCCUCUCGCGCAGCACAUUUGCGCUUCUCGAGGUGCGCGGGCCGCGUCCACGAAGCAACUAUUACCGUCUUUGACCUCGGAUCAGGUAGGGAUACCCGCUGAACUUAAGCAUAUCGAUAAGCGGAGGA